AUGGCGUUCGGCCGCACACCGUUCAAGGGCAAGAACCGCAAGGAGACGUUCCGGAACGUGCUGCACAGGGAGCGGGAUCCCGCGAGGCGGCUCGGGUACGCCGGCAGCACUGACGAGAUCCGGGCGCACCCGUUCUUCGCCGGGAUGGCGUGGGACAUGCUCGUGGAGGCGACCCGCCUGCCCUACAUCCCGCCGCCAGCGGAGGACAACUCAGUCGACAGCGAGGGCUUCGACGUGAGGGACUACUUCAAGAAGCUCUACCAGCCGCCGGCGCCGCCGCCUCCAGAGUCGGGCUCGUCGUCAUCGUUGUCGUCGUCGGACUUCUCGUCGGUGUUCUGA
RNAcentral lists this ribosomal RNA (339 nucleotides) under Triticum aestivum (bread wheat). RNAcentral describes it as "partial small subunit ribosomal RNA". Lineage: Eukaryota; Viridiplantae; Streptophyta; Magnoliopsida; Poales; Poaceae. The record is from RNAcentral.